GAUGAACGCUGACAGAAUGCUUAACACAUGCAAGUCGAUGGGGAAGUGGUGCUUGCACCAUGGUAACCAUGGCGGACGGGUGAGUAACGCGUAAGGAACUUGCCUGCGGGACUGGGAUAACAGCAGGAAACUGCUGAUAAUACCGGAUAAGGUCAUUAAGCUGCAUAGCUUAGUGAUGAAAGGAGACGCCUGCGGAGAGCCUUGCGUCCUAUUAGCUAGUUGGAGGGGUAACGGCCCACCAAGGCGAAGAUAGGUGGCCGGCCUGAGAGGGUGGACGGCCACAAGGGGACUGAGAUACGGCCCUUACUCCUACGGGAGGCAGCAGUGGGGAAUAUUGGACAAUGGGGGCAACCCUGAUCCAGCAAUUCUGUGUGCACGAAGACGGUUUUCGGAUUGUAAAGUGCUUUCAGCAGGGAAGAAGGAAGUGACGGUACCUGCAGAAGAAGCGACGGCUAAAUACGUG
Molecule: ribosomal RNA, 463 nt
Filed under: uncultured bacterium
Lineage: Bacteria
Description: partial 16S ribosomal RNA
Rfam family: Bacterial small subunit ribosomal RNA
Source: RNAcentral